This is a non-coding RNA of Notechis scutatus (mainland tiger snake), 248 nucleotides long. The record is from RefSeq and is a predicted model, not a curated record. NCBI's taxonomy places the organism in Eukaryota, Metazoa, Chordata, Lepidosauria, Squamata, Elapidae.
GGCGCGGCCGGGAGUCCGAAGGUGGGGGCGGAAACCAGCCUUCUCCCGGAAGUGUGUGUGGUUUCUAGGGGGGCAGGAAGCGGACCGGGGUGAGAACAGGUGCGGCGGGGUCUUCGUCCCGGGUGGCGGGCGAGGAAGAAAAAAGAAUUUAAAAAAGCGGCCAUGUCGGCCUUCGACGCGAACCCCUUCGCGGAUCCCGUGGACGUCAAUCCCUUCCAGGUAAGCCAAUCAGCUGGCCAACGCCAACA